CUGUUGUAUGGAAGGACCGAAGCUUAGCAGUUCCCUUGAUAAGGAUGGAAGGUGUCCUGGUGGCAUACACAACAUACCUGUGGUUAAGGCAUUGCCACUUACUUCAUGGUAUCUAGCCAGCUAAUGAG
Molecule: small nuclear RNA, 128 nt
Organism: Varanus komodoensis (Komodo dragon)
Lineage: Eukaryota; Metazoa; Chordata; Lepidosauria; Squamata; Varanidae
Source: Ensembl